This is a small nuclear RNA of Chanos chanos (milkfish), 196 nucleotides long. RefSeq annotates it as U2 spliceosomal RNA. The record is from RefSeq and is a predicted model, not a curated record. Lineage: Eukaryota; Metazoa; Chordata; Actinopteri; Gonorynchiformes; Chanidae. The transcript has a single exon.
GUCGCUUCUCGGCCUUUUGGCUAAGAUCAUGUGUAGUAUCUGUUCUUAUCAGUUUAAUAUCUGAUACGUUCUCUAUCCGAGAACGCCAUAUUAAGCGCAUUUUUAGAACGGAGUCGGCACAGGGGCUUGCUCCGGCCGCUCCACGCAUCGGCUCGGUAUUGCAGUGCUUCCGAGAGCUAUUUUUGGGGCAGCCGUG